Long non-coding RNA from Ictalurus punctatus (channel catfish), 1773 nucleotides. Lineage: Eukaryota; Metazoa; Chordata; Actinopteri; Siluriformes; Ictaluridae. The record is from Ensembl.
GUCGUUCGUCGGCGUCUUUACAGUAAAGGUUGUCGUUCGUCGGCGUCUUUACAGUAAGGUUGUCGUUCGUCGGCGUCUUUACAGUAAAGGUUGUCGUUCGUCGGCGUCUUUACAGUAAAGGUUGUCGUUCGUCGGCGUCUUUACAGUAAAGGUUGUCGUUCGUCGGCGUCUUUACAGUAAAGGUUGUCGUUCGUCGGCGUCUUUACAGUAAGGCUGUCGUUCGUCGGCGUCUUUACAGUAAAGGUUGUCGUUCGUCGGCGUCUUUACAGUAAGGCUGUCGUUCGUCGGCGUCUUUACAGUAAGGCUGUCGUUCGUCGGCGUCUUUACAGUAAAGGUUGUCGUUCGUCGGCGUCUUUACAGUAAAGGCUGUCGUUCGUCGGCGUCUUUACAGUAAAGGCUGUCGUUCGUCGGCGUCUUUACAGUAAGGUUGUCGUUCGUCGGCGUCUUUACAGUAAGGUUGUCGUUCGUCGGCGUCUUUACAGUAAGGCUGUCGUUCGUCGGCGUCUUUACAGUAAAGGCUGUCGUUCGUCGGCGUCUUUACAGUAAAGGUUGUCGUUCGUCGGCGUCUUUACAGUAAAGGUUGUCGUUCGUCGGCGUCUUUACAGUAAAGGUUGUCGUUCGUCGGCGUCUUUACAGUAAAGGCUGUCGUUCGUCGGCGUCUUUACAGUAAAGGUUGUCGUUCGUCGGCGUCUUUACAGUAAAGGUUGUCGUUCGUCGGCGUCUUUACAGUAAAGGUUGUCGUUCAUCGGCGUCUUUACAGUAAAGGUUGUCGUUCGUCAGUGUCUUUACAGGAAGCUGGACAUUUGUCAGCGUUUUUAACAUUGCGCUAAUCAUUUGUUAGUGUUUUUUUCAGAACAGUUAAUGUGCUACUUCAGAAUGUGUGAAAUCAUUCACUUUCUGUAGAAAUCUCUGGUGAAAUGCUAGAACAUACAAAAUGAACAGUGGUAGUCCAUAUCUGGCUUCAUAUGUAUGCAAAUUACACUGGAACUAUCUUGGAGCUAACAUAACACUGGUUAGCUGUUAGCACAAAACAGGUUUGCUUGUGCAAACAGACGUAGGCUGCCUUCAAAUCCUAUCGGAAAUCUCUUCCUGAGUGUGCAGAGAGCUCUGUGUCUCCGAACGCCGUGCAUGCACGAUACUGCUCAUCCUAAGCACACAGUAGCCCAAGAGCUCAACUAUACUGAAUAAAACAUUGAACACAAUAUAUUUUGUCACCAUGUUACACAUUUAAUACAUCUGUUACUAACAGACUCGUAGUAUACUUUUCCAGAUUAACAAAGUAAUAAUGGAACAAUUUAUCAAUUAUACAAAUAGUAGUUAGUUGCGGCACUGAUGAAAAUAAAUAAUUUGCAGGAAUGAUCGUGAUCGGAAGCUUUUUUUGGUCCGACUACACAACCGUUCGUUCUGGUCUACUAAUCUGACUGGACUAGAGGUGUUCCAAGAGUGCUGAUGUUUAGAACAACAGUCCUGCUACAGUACGUUUCACUGUUUGUCUGUGUUCACUACAUAAAAUUCCAGCUCUAGCAAUAGUUCACUGCAUUGAAACCGUUACUACACUUUCUAUGCGCUGUCAAUCAGUCUGUGUGGUGGCAUGGCAACGCCCAACACACUACCCCAGCUUUGGCUUCUUUGGGAAUUAUUUUGACGGAGCACAGAAAAACUAAAUAUUUGGCCAUAUUGUUAAUAUUAACUUGAAUUACUUGAUAUUAAUUUCUUGUUUAUAGAACUGUUGUAUAAAAGCAAUAUCACAAGACUCCAUUACUAAAGAAAAGG